This 404-nucleotide ribosomal RNA is filed under the name Acidobacteriota bacterium. RNAcentral's name for it is "Acidobacteria bacterium partial 16S ribosomal RNA". It matches the Rfam family "Bacterial small subunit ribosomal RNA", at positions 355 to 776 of the family's 1533-position model. The record is from RNAcentral. Lineage: Bacteria; Pseudomonadati; Acidobacteriota.
UGGGGAAUAUUGCACAAUGGGGGAAACCCUGAUGCAGCGACGCCGCGUGAAGGAAGAAGUAUCUCGGUAUGUAAACUUCUAUCAGCAGGGAAGAUAGUGACGGUACCUGACUAAGAAGCCCCGGCUAACUACGUGCCAGCAGCCGCGGUAAUACGUAGGGGGCAAGCGUUAUCCGGAUUUACUGGGUGUAAAGGGAGCGUAGACGGUGUGGCAAGUCUGAUGUGAAAGGCAUGGGCUCAACCUGUGGACUGCAUUGGAAACUGUCAUACUUGAGUGCCGGAGGGGUAAGCGGAAUUCCUGGUGUAGCGGUGAAAUGCGUAGAUAUUAGGAGGAACACCAGUGGCGAAGGCGGCUUACUGGACGGUAACUGACGUUGAGGCUCGAAAGCGUGGGGAGCAAACAGG